Molecule: ribosomal RNA, 774 nt
Filed under: uncultured bacterium
Lineage: Bacteria
Description: bacterial SSU rRNA
Rfam family: Bacterial small subunit ribosomal RNA
Source: RNAcentral
AGAGUUUGAUCCUGGCUCAGGACGAACGCUGGCGGCGUGCUUAACACAUGCAAGUCGAGCGGAAAGGCCCUUCGGGGUACUCGAGCGGCGAACGGGUGAGUAACACGUGAGCAAUCUGCCCCCUAGCUUCGGGAUAGCUCCGGGAAACCGGGAUUAAUACCGAAUAUGACUGCGGUCGACAUCGGCGCGUGGUGGAAAGAUUUAUCGGCUAGGGAUGAGCUCGCGGCCUAUCAGCUUGUUGGUUGGGGUAACGGCCCACCAAGGCGACGACGGGUAGCCGGCCUGAGAGGGCGACCGGCCACACUGGGACUGAGACACGGCCCAGACUCCUACGGGAGGCAGCAGUGGGGAAUAUUGCGCAAUGGGCGAAAGCCUGACGCAGCGACGCCGCGUGCGGGAUGAAGGCCUUCGGGUUGUAAACCGCUUUCAGCAGGGACGAAGCGAAAGUGACGGUACCUGCAGAAGAAGCGCCGGCUAACUACGUGCCAGCAGCCGCGGUAACACGUAGGGCGCAAGCGUUGUCCGGAAUUAUUGGGCGUAAAGAGCUCGUAGGUGGCCCGCCACGUCUGUUGUGAAAAUCCAGGGCUUAACCCUGGACUUGCUGCGGAUACGGGCGGGCUAGAGGUAGGUAGGGGAGAAUGGAAUUCCCGGUGUAGCGGUGAAAUGCGCAGAUAUCGGGAGGAACACCGGUGGCGAAGGCGGUUCUCUGGGCCUUACCUGACACUGAGGAGCGAAAGCGUGGGGAGCGAACAGGAUUAGAUACCCCGGUAGUCC